AGACCCGAAACCCGGUGAUCUAGCCAUGGGCAGGUUGAAGGUUGGGUAACACUAACUGGAGGACCGAACCGACUAAUGUUGAAAAAUUAGCGGAUGACCUGUGGCUGGGGGUGAAAGGCCAAUCAAACCGGGAGAUAGCUGGUUCUCCCCGAAAGCUAUUUAGGUAGCGCCUCGUGAAUUCAUCUCCGGGGGUAGAGCACUGUUUCGGCUAGGGGGCCAUCCCGGCUUACCAACCCGAUGCAAACUGCGAAUACCGGAGAAUGUUAUCACGGGAGACACACGGCGGGUGCUAACGUCCGUCGUGAAGAGGGAAACAACCCAGACCGCCAGCUAAGGUCCCAAAGUCAUGGUUAAGUGGGAAACGAUGUGGGAAGGCCCAGACAGCCAGGAUGUUGGCUUAGAAGCAGCCAUCAUUUAAAGAAAGCGUAAUAGCUCACUGGUCGAGUCGGCCUGCGCGGAAGAUGUAACGGGGCUAAACCAUGCACCGAAGCUGCGGCAGCGACACUCAGGUGUUGUUGGGUAGGGGAGCGUUCUGUAAGCCUGCGAAGGUGGCCUGUGAGGGUUGCUGGAGGUAUCAGAAGU
This 582-nucleotide ribosomal RNA is filed under the name Salmonella enterica subsp. enterica serovar Infantis. Its description in RNAcentral is "partial 23S ribosomal RNA". It matches the Rfam family "Bacterial large subunit ribosomal RNA", at positions 711 to 1289 of the family's 2925-position model. RNAcentral also lists the same sequence under 1 other name. The record is from RNAcentral. Lineage: Bacteria; Pseudomonadati; Pseudomonadota; Gammaproteobacteria; Enterobacterales; Enterobacteriaceae.